RNAcentral lists this ribosomal RNA (493 nucleotides) under uncultured bacterium. RNAcentral's name for it is "bacterial SSU rRNA". It matches the Rfam family "Bacterial small subunit ribosomal RNA", at positions 903 to 1397 of the family's 1533-position model. The record is from RNAcentral.
AAAGGAAUUGACGGGGGCCCGCACAAGCGGAGGAACAUGUGGUUUAAUUCGAUGAUACGCGAGGAACCUUACCCGGGCUUGAAAGUUAGCGACGGAUGCCGAAAGGUGUCUUCUCUUCGGAGCGCGAAACUAGGUGCUGCAUGGUUGUCGUCAGCUCGUGCCGUGAGGUGUCGGGUUAAGUCCCAUAACGAGCGCAACCCCUACCGUUAGUUGCCAUCAGGUCAUGCUGGGGACUCUAGCGGGACUGCCGGUGUAAGCCGAGAGGAAGGUGGGGAUGACGUCAAAUCAGCACGGCCCUUACGUCCGGGGCGACACACGUGUUACAAUGGUCGGUACAGAGGGCAGCUACCUGGUGACAGGGUGCGAAUCUCGAAAGCCGAUCUCAGUUCGGAUUGCAGGCUGAAACCCGCCUGCAUGAAGUUGGAUUCGCUAGUAAUCGCGCAUCAGCCAUGGCGCGGUGAAUACGUUCCCGGGCCUUGUACACACCGCCCGU